This 253-nucleotide ribosomal RNA is filed under the name uncultured bacterium. RNAcentral describes it as "partial 16S ribosomal RNA". It matches the Rfam family "Bacterial small subunit ribosomal RNA", at positions 524 to 776 of the family's 1533-position model. The record is from RNAcentral. RNAcentral also lists the same sequence under 1 other name.
GACGGAGGGUGCUAGCGUUGUUCGGAAUCACUGGGCGUAAAGGGCGCGUAGGCGGCUUUGGCCGUCGGCUGUGAAAGCCCGGGGCUCAACCCCGGAGGUGCAGCCGAGACCCCGAAGCUGGAGGCCGGAAGAGGAGGGUGGAAUACCCAGUGUAGAGGUGAAAUUCGUAGAUAUUGGGUGGAACACCGGUGGCGAAAGCGGCUCUCUGGUCCGGACCUGACGCUGAGGCGCGAAAGCGUGGGGAGCAAACAGG